RNA transcript from Sesamum indicum (sesame), 2295 nucleotides. RefSeq lists it as uncharacterized. NCBI's taxonomy places the organism in Eukaryota, Viridiplantae, Streptophyta, Magnoliopsida, Lamiales, Pedaliaceae. The record is from RefSeq and is a predicted model, not a curated record.
GGUGGUAGUGUAUAUAAUGGGGUUGCUGAGGUUGGCACCUAAUUUUGCUUUUCCUUCAGUGCUCUUUUCUGCAUGGCUUCCUUAGCAUAUGCACCGCGCCACUGUACUGCCACCAACCCAUUCACUUUCACUCUCUAAUUCUCUCGGAGGGGUUUUUCUUUUCGCUUGAGUUUCAGGCUUUCUUCUCCCAUCAAGAAUCAAGAUUUCUUUGAACUCGAUCUCUCCGCCUUCUGUUCGUCUAUUAACUAUUUUACUGCCCAUUUUCUCUUUCUUCUCUUAUUUUUUGUUUUUUGUCCUCAUGGAGCACUGGGAUCCUCAGAUGAUGCUGGACUUGUACAUUCACAAUUAUAUGAUCAGAAACAACAUGCACGAAACUGCCGAGAUUUUCGCCAGAGAGGCUAAUGUCUGUCCCAAGGUUGUUGCAUUAGAUCCUCCUGAAGGGUUUCUGUCAGAAUGGUGGUCGUUAUUUUGGAGUGUAUACUCUAGUCAUUGCACAAAUCAUGCUGAAGCAACAGAAGACUCUUCAUCAAAGGCAACUCAGAAUGCUGGAAGUGUGUCUCAGAAUGUUAAUUCUGUUAUGCUGGACCCAGAUGUUGAUUAUAUUUUACAGACUCUAUGCCCUACAGUGCAAAUGCCAGGACUUCCUAGUAUGCUACAAACUCUCAGUCCAAGGCCAGAUAUAGGAAAUUUGCAGCAAAGUGAUGCUUCGAGAAUGAUGCCAAGGCCAAUAUUAGAACUUCCUAUUUCAGACUUCAGUAUAACGCCAGGACAAACUUCAAGAAGUUUGAUAACUGCACCAAUAUUUGAGCAAGAACGUCUUAAGCUUCCUGUCAGGGACUUGAAUACUGACCCGCAGGUUCUAAAUGUCAAUGAAUUAGCGUGCAUGCUGCCAUCUUCAAGAAAUUCUAGCCACCUACUGGAGAAAGUAUAUAGGAAUCCUCAGCUUUCUGUUACUAGAAAUGACAGAGGUGGUGCUAGUUUGAGGAGAUCCACUGCCGCAGAACCAACUUAUCAUCCACCACGACCUAUUCAACCCAAAAUAGGACCUGCUGAUAGAGAUUCCCAAGGGUGUCUUCAGCUUCCUGUCAAGAACUUGAAUUAUAACUCGGAGCUUUCUGAUUUUGAUCAGUUACUUUGCUUACUGCCAUCUUCAAGCAAUUGCAGCUAUCCUAAGGAGAAUAUUUAUAAGAAGCAGCCUAUGCUUUCUGUCAAACGAGAUGACAAAUGUGGUGCUAGUUCAUGGAUCCCAACUUCUGCCAUUCCAACUCGUCAACCUACUGAUACAGAUGCAAGCAUGCGUGAGCAGGAGCUUCUUAGGCUUUAUGUCAGGAACUUGAAUUCCAAUUCCAAUUCACAGCUCCUUGACAUCCAUCAAUUAGCUCAUAUGCCACCAUCUUCAAGCAAUUGCAGCCAUCCCCAAAAGAGGCAUCAGCUUUCUGUUACUCGAGAUGGCGAAUGUGGUACUGAUUUGAGGAGAUUUAUUGGUGUUGAGCCAAUUUGUCAUGCACAAUACACUAUACAACCUAAAACAAGACCAGCUGAUGCAGAUGCAAGAAUGCCAGAGCAAGGGCGUCUUAAGCUACCUGUCAGGAAUCUGAAUUCCAAGUCACAGCUACUUGGUAUUGAUCAAUUGGCUCACCUGCUGUCAUCAUCAGGCAAUUGCAGCCAUCCUCAGAAGGAUGUUAAUAAGAGUCACCUUUCUCUUACCCGAGAUGACGGAUCUGGAACUAGUCUGAGGAUACCUACUGCUGCUGAGCCAACUCGUAAUGAACCAAAAGCUAUACAAUAUAAUAUGGGAACUGCAUGCUUUCAGGAACGUAGCUUGUUUCACUUGGUCCCGCGAACAUCCGGAGAGCUGAUAUUAUUACCUGCAUCUUGAAGUUCAUCCAAAAUGGCUAAAAGGGAAAAGAUGUUGAGGGUAAAGAUGUGAAGGUGGGAAUCUAUUCUGAGUAAAAAUUAAAACGUUAACUAAUGAAUAUAAAUGAUUCCGUCCCGAGUAAAAAUAGUUUCUCCUGAAGUUAUGACGGAUGUUGAAGAUGAUUUCCUAUCUCGACUUGGGAACCCUAUUGGCCACUGUGCAGGGGGCAUGCUAACAUUGUUGGUUUGACUUCAACAUCCUUGGAUAUCUGCAGAAAAAACAUAACCAUUGCUUUGGCAGAAGACUAGCACUCUAGUUGAAUUAUUACACCUAACUCCGCUGGGAACGAACCAUAAAGGCUCCACAGCUAGAGGUUGUUCGGAUGAACUUAAUAUGCUUUUUAAAAUAUUUUAUCAGAUGUUUGAAUGCUUAUAAGA